UGGGGAAUAUUGCACAAUGGGCGCAAGCCUGAUGCAGCCAUGCCGCGUGUAUGAAGAAGGCCUUCGGGUUGUAAAGUACUUUCAGCGGGGAGGAAGGGAGUAAAGUUAAUACCUUUGCUCAUUGACGUUACCCGCAGAAGAAGCACCGGCUAACUCCGAGCCAGCAGCCGCGGUAAUACGGAGGGUGCAAGCGUUAAUCGGAAUUACUGGGCGUAAAGCGCACGCAGGCGGUUUGUUAAGUCAGAUGUGAAAUCCCCGGGCUCAACCUGGGAACUGCAUCUGAUACUGGCAAGCUUGAGUCUCGUAGAGGGGGGUAGAAUUCCAGGUGUAGCGGUGAAAUGCGUAGAGAUCUGGAGGAAUACCGGUGGCGAAGGCGGCCCCCUGGACGAAGACUGACGCUCAGGUGCGAAAGCGUGGGGAGCAAACAGG
RNAcentral lists this ribosomal RNA (429 nucleotides) under Chloroflexota bacterium. RNAcentral describes it as "Chloroflexi bacterium partial 16S ribosomal RNA". It matches the Rfam family "Bacterial small subunit ribosomal RNA", at positions 355 to 776 of the family's 1533-position model. The record is from RNAcentral. Lineage: Bacteria; Bacillati; Chloroflexota.